Molecule: ribosomal RNA, 801 nt
Filed under: Triticum aestivum (bread wheat)
Lineage: Eukaryota; Viridiplantae; Streptophyta; Magnoliopsida; Poales; Poaceae
Description: partial small subunit ribosomal RNA
Source: RNAcentral
AUGCAAGAAAGCACUCGCUUCUAUCCAUAUUUCAAGGAUUGUGUUGGAGCAAUUGAUGGGACUCAUGUGCUUGCUAGAGUCCCAAAAAGUAUCUCAGCUGCCUUUAGGGGUAGAAAGGUGGGGACUACCCAAAAUGCCAUGGCUACGGUAGACUUUGAUCUAAAGUUUACCUAUGUACUUGCAGAGGUGGCGGCAAGAGGUGCCAAGACUGAUAAAGGAUUCAAAGAGGUUGAAAAAUUGAAAGUUGCAAAGCAUAUAUCUUCUUUCGUUGGUUAUGACAUGUCUAUUACCCAAGUGCACAAUCAUAUUCACAAGUGGAGGAAUAGGUGGACAAGGCUUGCCUAUUUGAAGGGUUUAAGUGGGGCACUUUGGGAUGAUGACAAGAAGAUGGUAGUGCUAGAAGAACAACACUAUUUGGGCCACACGCAGGAUCAUCCAACAAAUGCUGAAUUGCUCAAUUCUCUACUGGAGAACUACAUCUACAAGGAACUUUGCUUCGCUAAUAAGCAUGCCACUGGGAAGUAUGCAAUGGGCCCCGGUGUGCCCCUAGGAAUGCCUAUUGUUGUCGAAGACAAGGAUAAACUGAAUGUCAUGGAGGGGGAAGGAACAACAGAUGAGGUAUUGCAACAUCAUCCUGGGUCUAACUUUGUACUUCCUACUGCUAGUGCCACUCAGGACCCUUCUCCUACUUCAAAUGAGAAGAGAAAGAGGGCAUCUAGCUUGACUGAGGAGGACUCAAUCCAGUGUAGCAACAUGACUGAUGCUAUGCGUGAGAUUGCAAGUGCUAUCAACAACACUUGA